Molecule: unclassified non-coding RNA, 343 nt
Filed under: soil metagenome
Description: partial contains 5.8S ribosomal RNA, internal transcribed spacer 2, and large subunit ribosomal RNA
Rfam family: 5.8S ribosomal RNA (bases 1-120)
Source: RNAcentral
GAUGAAGAACGUAGCGAAAUGCGAUAAGUAAUGUGAAUUGCAGAAUUCAGUGAAUCAUCGAAUCUUUGAACGCACAUUGCGCCCCUCGGUAUUCCGGGGGGCAUGCCUGUUCGAGCGUCAUUUCAACCCUCGAGCCCCCCCGGGGGCCUCGGUGUUGGGGGACGGCACACCAGCCGCCCCCGAAAUGCAGUGGCGACCCCGCCGCAGCCUCCCCUGCGUAGUAGCACACACCUCGCACCGGAGCGCGGAGGCGGUCACGCCGUAAAACGCCCAACUUUCUUAGAGUUGACCUCGGAUCAGGUAGGAAUACCCGCUGAACUUAAGCAUAUCAAUAAGCGGAGGA